This 492-nucleotide ribosomal RNA is filed under the name uncultured bacterium. Its description in RNAcentral is "partial 16S ribosomal RNA". It matches the Rfam family "Bacterial small subunit ribosomal RNA", at positions 28 to 507 of the family's 1533-position model. The record is from RNAcentral.
GAUGAACGCUAGCUACAGGCUUAACACAUGCAAGUCGAGGGGAAACGACAUCGAAAGCUUGCUUUUGAUGGGCGUCGACCGGCGCACGGGUGAGUAACGCGUAUCCAACCUGCCCAUCACUUGGGGAUAACCUUGCGAAAGUAAGACUAAUACCCAAUGAUAUCUCUAGAAGAAAUCUGAAAGAGAUUAAAGAUUUAUCGGUGAUGGAUGGGGAUGCGUCUGAUUAGCUUGUUGGCGGGGUAACGGCCCACCAAGGCAACGAUCAGUAGGGGUUCUGAGAGGAAGGUCCCCCACAUUGGAACUGAGACACGGUCCAAACUCCUACGGGAGGCAGCAGUGAGGAAUAUUGGUCAAUGGGCGAGAGCCUGAACCAGCCAAGUAGCGUGCAGGAAGACGGCCCUAUGGGUUGUAAACUGCUUUUAUAAGGGAAUAAAGUGGGAGUCGUGACUCUUUUUGUAUGUACCUUAUGAAUAAGGACCGGCUAAUUCCGUG